This 82-nucleotide transfer RNA is filed under the name Podarcis lilfordi (Lilford's wall lizard). RNAcentral describes it as "tRNA.Lys". Lineage: Eukaryota; Metazoa; Chordata; Lepidosauria; Squamata; Lacertidae. The record is from RNAcentral.
GCCCAUCAGCUACAGGUACCUCAGUCAGUAGAGCAUGAGACUCUUAAUCUUGGGGUUGUGAGUUUGAGCCCCAUGUUGGGCA